This 249-nucleotide unclassified non-coding RNA is filed under the name plant metagenome. Its description in RNAcentral is "partial contains small subunit ribosomal RNA and internal transcribed spacer 1". The stretch from base 1 to 46 matches the Rfam family "Eukaryotic small subunit ribosomal RNA", at positions 1786 to 1831 of the family's 1831-position model. The record is from RNAcentral.
AAGUCGCAACAAGGUUUCCGUAGGUGAACCUGCGGAAGGAUCAUUAACGAAGUUUGGACUUUUGUCCUCUCUCUUCUACACACAUUGUGAAUUCCUAUCCCUGUUUGGCAGUUUGGACAGGUAUCGUGGUGUCAUCAUUGCAAGUUGCAGGCUGACAUCAGUCAAGUCUUUCAUUAGACGCUUGCCAAGGACAUUUACCAACCGCCUUUUUUAUUUGUCUGAUUAUUGUUUUUAACAAAUGUAAUAAAA